This is a long non-coding RNA of Oncorhynchus tshawytscha (Chinook salmon), 2782 nucleotides long. The record is from Ensembl. Lineage: Eukaryota; Metazoa; Chordata; Actinopteri; Salmoniformes; Salmonidae.
CCGCCGCCUCUACACUCUAACCACUAGGCUACCUGCCACCCCAUCAUGAGUCGUCCUCCCUCAGCAGCCUGUGUUACACUUCUACAUCUGUCCAAUGUCAAUACAGAAUAUAGACCACUGCAGUUCAUCACUCCAAAUGAUUUGACCUCUAUGAAAUAUUUAGAAGUCAUAGAAUAUAUGGUGCAAUGAUCUCUCCCCCCCCCAUGGAUUAUGAUACAAAUCAACCAAAAUGAACACAAUGCUGAACAGAGAAUUAUGAAUGCACAAAGCCUUUCAUUGACGCUCAACGCCAUUCAUACGCCCCCUAUAUCCUACCCCCCACGAGCCACUUCUCCCCUCCCCCACACGUUACCACCCAGCACGCGGAUCACUGCGGUCAUCGAGUGUGUGUGUGUGAGAGCUGUGUGACGCAGAGCCGAAAACGCGUCACUGAAUUGAGAAUGAAAAAAAUAAUAAGGGAAUGUCGGACUGAGCAGAAAUACACUGAAGGGAACAGAGAGAGAGGAGAGCAGAGCAGAGAGAUGAGAGCAGAGCAGAGAGCAGAGCAGAGCAGAGAGAUGAGAGCAGAAGAGAUGAGAGUAGAGUAGAGAGAUGAGAGCAGAGUAGAGUAGAGAGAUGAGAGUAGAGUAGAGAGAUGAGAGCAGAGUAGAGUAGAGAGAUGAGAGCAGAGUAGAGUAGAGAGAUGAGAGUAGAGUAGAGAGAUGAGAGCAGAGUAGAGUAGAGAGAUGAGAGUAGAGUAGAGAGAUGAGAGCAGAGUAGAGUAGAGAGAUGAGAGCAGAGAUGAGAGCAGAGUAGAGAGAUGAGAGCAGAGUAGAGUAGAGUGAUGAGAGCAGAGUAGAGUAGAGAGAUGAGAGCAGAGAUGAGAGCAGAGUAGAGUAGAGUGAUGAGAGCAGAGUAGAGUGAUGAGAGCAGAGAGAGACAUUGUUUUCCUCAGUGAAAACAAUGUACUGAGCAAAUGUCAAAUUGGCUUUUGACCAAAUUACCGUACGACAGACCAUGUAUUCACAACCAUGAUUGACAAUCAAACCAAAACAAAGGCAAAGUCUUCCCAUGCCUUGUUGAUUUAAAAAAAUCUUUUGAAUACAAAUUGUUGGAAAGUGGUGUUUGGGGGAAAACGUAUGACAUUAUGAAAUCCACGUAGACAAAGAAGUGUGAGGUUAAAAUUGGGAAAUAAACACAUUUCAUUCCUCAGGGCCGGGGGGUGAGACAGGGAUGCAGCUUAAGCCCCACCCUCUUCAACAUAUAUAUCAACAAAUUGCCGAGGGCGCUAGAACAGUCUGCAGCACCCGGCCUCACCCUACUAGAAUCUGAAGUCAAAUGUCUACUGUUUGCUGAUGUCUACUGGUGCUUCUGUCACCAACCAAGGAGGGCCUACAGCAGCACCUAGAUCUUCUGCACAGAUUCUGACAGACCUGGGCCCUGACAGUAAAUCUCAGGAAGACAAAAAUGAUGGUGUUCCAAAAAAGGACCAGUCGCCAAGACAACAAAUACAAAUUCCGUUGCCCUAGAGCACACAAAAAAAAACUAUACAAACCUCGGUCGCCACAGGUAACUUCCACAAAGCUGUGACCAAUCUAAAAGACAAGGCAAGAAGGGCAUUCCAUGCCAUCAAAAGGAACAAAAUUCGACAUCCCAAUUAGGAUCUAGCUAAAAAUACUUGAAUCAGUCAUAGAGCCCAUUGCCCUUUAUGGUUGUGAGGUCUGGGGUCUGCGUACCAACCAAGAAUUCACAAUUAUGCAAAACUAUCCUUAAUGUAUUGUACAACAUAGAAAGACCAAAUAAUGCAUGUGAAGCAGAAUUAGGCCGAUACCCGCUAAUUAUCAAAAUCCAGAAAAGAGCCGUUAAAUUCUACAACCACCUAAAAGGAAGUGAUUCCCAAACCUUCCAUAACAAAGCCAUCACCUUCAGAGAGAUGAACCUGGAGAAGAGUCCCCUAAGCAAGCUGGUCCUGGGGCUCUGUUCACAAACACACCCUACAGAGCCCCAGGACAGCAGCACAAUUAGACCCAAUCAAAUCAUGAGAAAACAAAAAGAUAAUUACUUGACACAUUGGAAAGAAUUUACAAAAAAACUGAGCAAACUAGAAUGCUAUUUGAGCUGCAAUUCCUAACCUCCUGCCAAGUGUUUGACCAUAUUAGAGACACAUAUUUCCCUCAGAUUACACAGGCCGACAAAGAAUUAGAAAACAAACCCAAUUUUGAUAAAUUCCCAUAUCUACUGGGUGAAAUUCCACAGUGUGCCAUCACAGCAGCAAGAUGUGUGACCUGUUGCCACAAGAAAAGGGCAACCAGUGAAGAACAAACACCAUUGUGUAACGGCUUUCUUGUGGUGAAGUAGAGGCGGACCAAAACGCAGGGUGGUGAUGAUUCAUGUUUGUUUAAUAAAGGAAAACUAUACAUGAAUAAACUACAAAACAAUGAAAUGUGAAAACCCAAAACAGCCCUAUCUGGUGCAAAACCCAGAGACAGGAACAAUCACCCACAAACACACAGUGAAACCCAGGCUAUCUAAAUAUGGUUCCCAAUCAGAGACAAUGACUAACACCUGCCUCUGAUUGAGAACCAUAUCAGGCCAAACAUAGAAAUAGACAAACUAGACAUCCAACAUAGAAUGCCCACUCAGAUCACACCCUGACCAACCAAAACAUAGAAACAUACAAAGCAAACUAUGGUCAGGGUGUGACACAUUGUAAAUACAACCCAUAUUUAUGUUUAUUUAUUGUCCCUCGUGUACCCUUAACCAUUUGUACAUUGUUACAACACUGUAUAUAUAUAUAUAUAUA